RNAcentral lists this ribosomal RNA (253 nucleotides) under uncultured bacterium. RNAcentral describes it as "partial 16S ribosomal RNA". It matches the Rfam family "Bacterial small subunit ribosomal RNA", at positions 524 to 776 of the family's 1533-position model. The record is from RNAcentral.
UACAGAGGGUGCGAGCGUUGUCCGGAAUCACUGGGCGUAAAGGGUGCGUAGGCGGGUCUUUAAGUCAGGGGUGAAAUCCUGGAGCUCAACUCCAGAACUGCCUUUGAUACUGGCGAUCUUGAGUCCGGAAGAGGUGAGUGGAACUCCUAGUGUAGAGGUGGAAUUCGUAGAUAUUAGGAAGAACACCAGUGGCGAAGGCGGCUCACUGGUCCGGUACUGACGCUGAGGUGCGAAAGCGUGGGGAGCAAACAGG